This 76-nucleotide transfer RNA is filed under the name Caudoviricetes sp. Its description in RNAcentral is "tRNA-Phe". It matches the Rfam family "tRNA". From Rfam's summary of the family: Transfer RNA (tRNA) molecules are approximately 80 nucleotides in length. Their secondary structure includes four short double-helical elements and three loops (D, anti-codon, and T loops). The record is from RNAcentral. Lineage: Duplodnaviria; Heunggongvirae; Uroviricota; Caudoviricetes.
GGAUCUAUAGCUCAGUUGGUAGAGCAAGGGACUGAAAAUCCCUAUGUCGUUAGUUCGAUUCUAACUGGAUCAGCUA